GACGAACGCUGGCGGCGCGCUUAACACAUGCAAGUCGAACGGAAAGGCCUGCUUUCCCUUGUGGGUUGCGGGUACUCGAGUGGCGAACGGGUGAGUAACACGUGAGUGAUCUGCCCCCAACUUGGGUAUAAGCCUGGGAAACUGGGUCUAAUUCCCGAUAGGACUGCAGGGUGGUGCCUGUGGUGGAAAACGAUUUUCUAGUGGUUGGGGAUGAGCUCGCGGCCUAUCAGCUUGUUGGUGGGGUAAUGGCCUACCAAGGCGGCGACGGGUAGCCGGCCUGAGAGGGUGGACGGCCACAUUGGGACUGAGAUACGGCCCAGACUCCUACGGGAGGCAGCAGUGGGGAAUAUUGCACAAUGGGCGGAAGCCUGAUGCAGCGACGCCGCGUGGGGGAUGACGGCCUUCGGGUUGUAAACUCCUUUCGACCGCGAGGAAGCCACCUGGUUGGAAGGGUGGUGACGGUAGUGGUAGAAGAAGCACCGGCUAACUACGUG
This 494-nucleotide ribosomal RNA is filed under the name uncultured bacterium. RNAcentral's name for it is "partial 16S ribosomal RNA". It matches the Rfam family "Bacterial small subunit ribosomal RNA", at positions 28 to 507 of the family's 1533-position model. The record is from RNAcentral.